Molecule: transfer RNA, 63 nt
Filed under: Dipodomys ordii (Ord's kangaroo rat)
Lineage: Eukaryota; Metazoa; Chordata; Mammalia; Rodentia; Heteromyidae
Rfam family: tRNA
About the family: Transfer RNA (tRNA) molecules are approximately 80 nucleotides in length. Their secondary structure includes four short double-helical elements and three loops (D, anti-codon, and T loops).
Source: Rfam by way of RNAcentral
GGUGGCUCAGUGGUAGAGCGCUUGCCUCAUGCAUGAGGUCCUGGGUUCGAUUCCUCAGCACCA